GUUAAUGUAGCUUAAACUAAAGCAAGGCACUGAAAAUGCCAAGAUGAGUGUACGCACUCCAUGAACA
This 67-nucleotide transfer RNA is filed under the name Damaliscus pygargus. Its description in RNAcentral is "tRNA-Phe". It matches the Rfam family "tRNA". From Rfam's summary of the family: Transfer RNA (tRNA) molecules are approximately 80 nucleotides in length. The record is from RNAcentral. Lineage: Eukaryota; Metazoa; Chordata; Mammalia; Artiodactyla; Bovidae.